This 214-nucleotide ribosomal RNA is filed under the name Staphylococcus aureus. RNAcentral describes it as "partial 23S ribosomal RNA". It matches the Rfam family "Bacterial large subunit ribosomal RNA", at positions 2074 to 2286 of the family's 2925-position model. The record is from RNAcentral. Lineage: Bacteria; Bacillati; Bacillota; Bacilli; Caryophanales; Staphylococcaceae.
GACAGGACGGAAAGACCCCGUGGAGCUUUACUGUAGCCUGAUAUUGAAAUUCGGCACAGCUUGUACAGGAUAGGUAGGAGCCUUUGAAACGUGAGCGCUAGCUUACGUGGAGGCGCUGGUGGGAUACCUACCCUAGCUGUGUUGGCUUUCUAACCCGCACCACUUAUCGUGGUGGGAGACAGUGUCAGGCGGGCAGUUUGACUGGGGCGGUCGC